RNAcentral lists this long non-coding RNA (1967 nucleotides) under Triticum aestivum (bread wheat). RNAcentral's name for it is "long non-coding RNA (TAES_LNC023349)". The record is from RNAcentral. Lineage: Eukaryota; Viridiplantae; Streptophyta; Magnoliopsida; Poales; Poaceae.
UGGAACUUCAUGUAGAAGGGCAUCAAAAAGCUCAUCAACAUAUCAAGGGCAAGCGGGAAUCGCAGUUCAUCUUCGAGUACUACGUGAUGUUCUAUACGUAAGUUGCCUUCGUCCCCGCCUCCAUCCCGCCACGCCAAGACUAGGCCCGAUCCCGAUCUAAUCCGGUGUUGAUCUAGGGUUUCCGCUCCUCUGUGGCUCUGUUUGUUUCUGUUCAUCACACGCAACACAAUAUACAAAAUGUGGAAAAACAAACUGGUUGCCUUUUGGCCACAGACUAGAUUGGUUUCAGUUUAGAUGUAAAAUAGAUUCUGGAUUUUUAAUGUGCAACGACGGUAUGUUUUCCCUGUUGUGUUAUUGGAGAUGCAUCUUAUAUGAUUUUGUUAAAUAUUUAGAUGAUUAAAGUGGGGCGAGACCAAACCAGCUUGGUCCAGAAGGACCAUUGGGUGAAAGAUUUUCUGAGUAUGAUUCUAAUUCUUUCCAAUGAUCUACAUGGGAAGGGUGAGUUUGGCUGCGAUGAUACAAAUCUGCUCGGCAAACAACUAAAAGCAGUUGGCAGAAAAAACUGAUGAUGAAUAAACAAGAGCAAGUCAUGAUCAUUAAUGGUCUUUUGUUCACCAAUUAUCAGUUAUAUGUUUCAUAAACAUGUUCAUAUGCUAAUGUAAAAUGGUUAUUGAAUCUACUAUAUAUAAUAGGAAUGAGUUCUGGGCCAAAGGUCUGCUUGAAAGGCAGAACUGAAACACAAAGAAGGCCAAGCAAAGCAAAUGGGAAGAUGCAAGUGUUUCCAUCAGGAAUGAUAAUAUGUGCUAUGCUUUCAUGUGUGCUUUAUUUAUCUAAAUGUGCUUUUUCUAAAUGAAUGACCAAUUUUGUUAAUUGAAUUCCAUUUUCAUCAUAUAUCUGCUGCAGAAAAUUAGAUUUCUUUUAGUGUUAAAUCAUUAGCCAGUAACUAUUUGGUGAUGCGUAUAUGUCAAAGGUAUGACCAUGUAAACCUUUGGUACAGUUUCAUUGCAGCAGUACUAUGUUAUAACUUCCUACUCAAAAGUAGAUUUGAAUUCUUGUGAAAUGUCUUUCUGUCAGAGCUAAUGACACCAUACACCAAUUGCAGGUCAUCAAGCGUGUGCCUUCCUGAUCCCCAAACAAGUGUUCGCUCGCUGGUGACUUUUCUAAUCUGCAAAACUGUUUUUCUUCCCUGCUUGCUGUACAUGGGUGGCACUUCGACAGGGGCACCAACCAUACAUUAAUUUACUUCCAUUUUUAUGUUUAAAAGAAUUUAGAAAACGGAUGCCUUUGGACAUUUUUAUUUGAAAUUGCUGAUUCAAGCUUCGUAGAUUGGCUGAUGAUGGGUGGCGAGAUGUCUUCUAUCUACAAAAUUUUGAAGACUUGGGAAGGUAAGGAUAUCUCUCUCUUUGGUAGUAUUUAAAAUAUUAGUCAGCUAGAUGUCGCUAUCUUUACCUGACCUAUCAAAUUAUAUUUCUAUAAUGACGGGCCAAGUUAAUUCCCCAUCUAUCUCAUUUGCCAACCAGAUCAUGCAAUUGUUCAAACAGAUUUAUGAAAACGGUCCUUUUAACUGAUAGUUAAACACCUACAGCGCUGUCUGUUGUAGUGUUAUGUGUACAAGGAAGAACGAUGAACAAUUGAAGUUUUCGUUUUUUGUGACGAUUCCCUUUUUCCCAAAACUUACUGAUUUUUUUUUCAUAUAGCAGCCAUCUAAUAUUUCUGGCAGCAUUUAGACUGAACUGGAGGAGAACAAAUUUGAUACACAAAGCAAUUUUGGUCACGCGAGGGCUUGAGGUCACACGUGUGUCACUCGAGUGUGCAAGCUGUUGACUGCAUUUCAGCAAGACCAUUUAAUGACAUGCAUGUGCAAAAUAUCAAUAAAUGAAACCUACCCAUUCUAUUUAUUGUAAAUGUGUUCUAGAUUGUAACAUCCUUCUAUGGAGAUCUAAAUGGUCAAGGCGAUCGGAUUUAAA